Molecule: long non-coding RNA, 4878 nt
Filed under: Homo sapiens (human)
Lineage: Eukaryota; Metazoa; Chordata; Mammalia; Primates; Hominidae
Description: HSALNT0311672
Source: RNAcentral
AGUCGGCGUGCCUUGCAGCUGUUGGCUUGACCCCAGGCCGGGACGGGCAGAGCGGAACACUGCCCGGCGGGUCCAGGCCGACCGUGCCUGUGGCUCUCCGGAACAAUAAACCCCCGGCCCCAGUGAUGUGGGCCAGACCGGACCUGGAGAGGCGGCACCGCGACCCCUCCCGCAACCCGCCUGGCGGCCGGGGGCAGCGUGACCCGGCCCGCUACCGUGUCACAGCUGGCGACUGACAAACAGCAGGCGACGUCGGGAGAACUCCCCGAGACACCCGAGACAUCAGCCUUCUCGCUCCGCGGCCCUGCAGGACCUGCCCGCCGGGAGCCCCGGAGUCCGCGGCAGCGCCGAGGGCCCCUCCCCCAGGCCUCUGGGCUCUGAGGGACCAUGCCUGGCCGGAUGCUGCCGCCUGGCUUCAGUGCCAUCUGCAUGUCCUCAGGGAUGACAAAGGACUCAUUGUACCAGAUGUCAAAUUCUACAAGGAGGUGAGGAGACAGAACUUGAGGAAGCCGAGACGGGGUCUCACUGUAUUGCCCAGGCUGGUCUCGAACUCCUGUACUCAAGCAAUCCACCCGCCUCAGCCUCCCAAAGUGCUGAGAUUACAGGCGUGAGCCACUUCGCCUGGCCUAGGAGAUAUGAGUUUACUUGAUCUGUUCAAGUAAAUUCAAUAAAAUAAAGACAGUCUUCAUCUGUCACCCAGACUGGAGUGCAGUGGCGCAAUCUUGCCUCACUACAACCUCUGCCUCCUGGGCUCAAGCGAUUUUCAUGCCUCAGCCUCCCAAGAUGCUAGGAUUACAAGUGUGUGCCACCACGCCCUGCUCCUCUGAGAAAUAAAUGAGUAAAAUGCACCCCCUGUGAGUGAGAUGAUGCAUCUGACUUGCAGGAAUAAACCAAGUGACAUCUGGAGAUCACUCAUGGAAGCUGGCCUGGAACAGGGUUGUGAUUUAGCGAGGGAAAGCCCAGUAACCUGUGGUGUUUCCUGUCUGGAAGAAGACAGUAAGACUGAGCCAGGAGUGUGAAGAACAGUGUGGCCUCUGAACCACCUGUCCCAGAGUUGGAAUGGUCACUCACUAAAAUGCAGGUCCUGGGCCCUGCUCCAUCUCUCCCAAGUCAGAACCACUGGCUGAGGGGCUGGGAAUCUGCACUUGACCAGCCCUCUCAGAUAAGUCAUCUGAACACGCAAGCUUGGUGGGCCUUGGCCCUCAGUGCAGGUGUGGGCGGCGCACGCCACCAGGACAAGGACACUGGGUCAGAGUAACCAGGUACUCUUCACAUGUUGAGGAUCACAUAUGGUUUUGUUUGAUCUGGUGCAGAAGCUAACAUUAGCUGAUUACCUAAUUGGGCGUAAUUCCUCCUUCGGGGAGUCUGAGGGAAGGGGCUCAAUGCUGGAAGUUUCCCGGUCCCGCGAAAGCAUGUCUUUGACAUCCCCAUCUUUGGAGGAUGGGACCAGCUGGGUCUUGGAGGUGGAAACGUAAUCCAAGUCCUUCCCAUUCACAGGGCUGCUGGCACCUUCCUUUCUUGCCAAGGAGCUGGAAGAAGGCACGGAAGCCCCAGGGUUCAGUCAUGGACAGUGAGUUAUCAGAUGCCAGGAUGAGUGACCUUUCUCAGCACUGACUACACUGGGAACCCCACCUCAUUCAGCUCCCAUCUUGUUCAUAUGCCUAGGUAAAAGCGCAAAUAGUGUGAUGCUAAGCCAGGCAGAUGUGGAGGAAGAAGAGGGCAUUUUUCUCCCUUUUAUCAGAACAAAGAGCCCUCGGUGGUCUUGGCAGGAGACGCUUGGGAAAAAUGGGUACAAUCUCCAGGGAUUGAAAGUGUAUGGACCUGUAGGAUGGGCCACAGGUUCUCAGGAACCACCACGGCUGCUGAGGUCUGAGUCAUACAGGCUUCCCCGGGAAGGACUGGCAGAGCCCCACACAGGGUGGUUCUGUCUGUGGAUCAAUGGUAAAGCAGGAUGGCUCUGCCCUGCUGUUCUUACUGGUCCACACCCUGUUCUCCACACCAGCUCCCAGAAAAGUAGCUGUCCUCCCUGCUGAAGUGACAGUGCUUGGUGCCUUUCUCCGAGAAGAGGCAGAUCUGAGGACCGAACUGGCAGGAGGAUGCCCAUGGCUCUUCCCAAAGGUCUGAGGAUAGAAAAUCUGUUUCUUCCUCUUUCCUCCUCCUUGCAACGAGUAUGGCUCAGGGAACUGAGCCUCAACCCAUUGAAUACUGCACUGAUUAUCCGGAAGCAGAACAGAGAGGGUUGGGGUGUGACUGCACUCAUGAAGAGGCAGGAGGAAGCCAGGGACACUGGCAUCCUCUGCUGCCUGACUCUUGUCCUGCGUGUAACAGUUUUCUACAAUCAGCUCUGGCCUGUGGCCUGUGCUCACACACUCUUGCUCACAACAACCUCAAUGACUUGGAUGCUAUUAUUAUUAUUCCCAUUUUGGAGAUGCAGAAACAGGCACAGAGCGGUUCUCAUGUCUCACAUGGGGUGACCCCUUGGGUGUGAGAAGUGCAGAGCAGGGAAGGGAGCCCAGGCGUCAGCUCCAGAGCCUGUGCUCUUACCCACCACUACACAGCACCCUGGGAGGGCUCACUAAGUGAACCUAAAUGCUCUUCCCACCUUGCACAUACAAACGAGUCUUGCCUGAAAGGUGAACUGGAGUUUUAGGUGACCUGAGUGCCAGUCGGCGGGAAGACCCUAGUGAAGUGAGGGGAGGGGGUACAACAUAAAGUACCAGAGGGCAUGGGCUCUGGAGAGCUGGUCCAGCUUCUUGCUGCCAUUCCACUACUCAUUGGUGGUAUGGCCUUGGUGAGUGACUUCCCCUCUCUAAGCCUCUGUUUCUUCAUCAGUGUAAUGAAGACAUUAACUCCCACCUCACCAGGUUGCUGUGAGGACGAGAGAUGAUUCUUGUGCGGUUCCAAACCAGCCCCAGCCCGGGCCCCACAGACUUGCUAGUAUUGGCAGCAGUGACGUCCAUUGUGCCAACCCAGUAGCUGAGACACCAGGGGGAAAGUGGGAACAGUGCACAUCCUCCCAUGCACCCACCGAGGAGGGCCAGCUGCUGAGGAGGCAGAGCGGCAAGGUCACUCACCUGAGUGGCUCUUUGAAUGUCUUCUUGGACUUGGCUUUCUUCCCAGGUUUGGUAGAGAAAGGGGCGACUCCGAGUCCAAAGUUUUGUCCUUCAGGCUCACCCACUAGGUGGCCAUCAACAUCCACAAGCCCCGCCUACAUAGAGAGGCCAGCCAAAGGUCUGUGAGUUAGAUUAAGGGCUUGGACCCCUUGGGGACCCACAUGUAUAUGGCCCAAGGCUCAGGGUGGACAUGUUCACCAUACACACCAAGGUUUGACAGCUGCUGAUGCCAGCCUCAGGCUGUCCCCUGUAGAGCGGUCCCUGACCACUCUGCCAAAUGUCCACUUUCCACAUGCACCCCCUCACCAGUAUGGCACCUCAUUCCAUACUCUGGGGAUCUUAAAGCUUAUUUCCAACCUAAUUCCAGGAAAUCGUCUUUAAUAUUAUUAUCCAUGUCUCUACCUUAUGGAAAUUAUUUUUAAUUCAAAAGUGGUUUACUCUUAACACAGGUCACCUGUGUUCAUUCUGGUGUUACCUUUAUCUGUUGCAAUCCUAGCUCUGGUUUAAUGCAUUAAUACUUGCUGGCUCUGCAAAGGUCUGAGGAUGGGAAAUCUGAGGUGAGUGCUGUCGGCAAGUAGCAACUAUGCUUACCUUCUGGAUAGCAGAAAUGGCUGCAAAGUCAUUCCUGUCAAUGAGGGUGUACUUCCUGCGCAAAGUGGACUCCACUUCCUGUUCCUGUUGGCUUGGGAGACAGCAAGAGAGAACAGCUUGUACCUGGGGCCAUGCUGAAUCCACUGGGGCAAGAACCAAGUACUGGGGUUAAAAGUCAUAUGGGUGAGGCCCCUUGUGUGGGGCCACACCUUCAUCAUGAACCAGACCAGACAAAAGGACAAAGGACUCACUUCCCCCUGCCCCAUUGCAUAUACCCACUGUCCGACCCCCAUACCCACAAGGGCUACCUUAUGUCAUGUGUGUCUGCUCCAAGAUGACACUUGAUAAGGACCGUAAGCUUCACUUGGGACCAUGUGGGGUUCUGUCUUAGGUUCUGUCUCUAAGAGGCCACUUGGAAUCACAUGACCAGCUUUAGUGACACCACCUAGCAUAAGCUGCUCAGACUAUGGGUAUGUUUGCACCCAAAUAAACCACAAAUGCCUCCUGAGGUGGGAGUGUGUGUUGCAAUAUUCACAAGGUGAAUAUUCACAAUGCCCUGCUCUGGGCACUCUCAGAGCUGGCACUCCAUAAACACCUCCUGUCCAAUUAAUGAACUCACUGAAUAUCCACCAGGGACCCAGGCAUGCCCCCAAGGACUCUGAUUUGGCUCUUCAUCCACAAGCAAGAAGAGGAGCUCUUGGAGGCAAGUGCCCAGAUGGCAGGAGAUGAAAAUGGCAGCCUGAUGUAGGAAUGAGGUAGGGGUGGGGGUCUCUCACCUCAGAACCACCCGGAACUGGUUGAACACCUCCUUGAUCUGUCUAAGGCUGAUUAUCUGGAGGGAAGACAGCAAGGCAGAGGUUAGACCAAGGGCACCUCGAGGGACCAGGGGGCAUCUAUGUUAGUAGAGAAAUCAAGACCCCUUGGCUGACCCCUGGACCAUCUGUCUCGAGAAGAGGACGUGUGCACACAGCCUCUCAGCGAAGUGGCAGCCAAGCCCUCCUCCAGAGCAGAGAAACACCUGAUUAAUAAUUUUAAAACUAAGUAUUUGCUGAGGCUAUAAAAACCACCUUUUCGAAGUGGAGACCUCUAUAAAAUGAAAUGAUUCUAUACCUUGAAAAUACCUUCUAAAGGUUUUUUUUUUUUUUUUAAUAAAAUGUACUUCUCAGCUUUCUCU